Molecule: ribosomal RNA, 395 nt
Filed under: uncultured bacterium
Lineage: Bacteria
Description: partial 16S ribosomal RNA
Rfam family: Bacterial small subunit ribosomal RNA
Source: RNAcentral
AUACGUAGGGUGCAAGCGUUAAUCGGAAUUACUGGGCGUAAAGCGUGCGCAGGCGGUUCGGAAAGAAGGAUGUGAAAUCCCAGGGCUCAACCUUGGAACUGCAUUCUUAACUACCGAACUAGAGUAUGUCAGAGGGGGGUAGAAUUCCGCGUGUAGCAGUGAAAUGCGUAGAUAUGCGGAGGAAUACCGAUGGCGAAGGCAGCCCCCUGGGAUAAUACUGACGCUCAUGCACGAAAGCGUGGGUAGCAAACAGGAUUAGAUACCCGGGUAGUCCACGCACUAAACGGUGUCAACUAGCUGUAGGGCCCUUCGGGGCUUAGUAGCGUAGCUAACGCGUGAAGUUGACCGCCUGGGGAGUACGGUCGCAAGAUUAAAACUCAAAUGAAUUGACGGGG